RNAcentral lists this ribosomal RNA (513 nucleotides) under uncultured bacterium. RNAcentral's name for it is "partial 16S ribosomal RNA". It matches the Rfam family "Bacterial small subunit ribosomal RNA", at positions 28 to 523 of the family's 1533-position model. The record is from RNAcentral.
GACGAACGCUGGCGGCAUGCCUAAUACAUGCAAGUCGAGCGAACAGAUGAAGUGCUUGCAUUUCUGACGUUAGCGGCGAACGGGUGAGUAACACGUAAGGAAUCUACCUAUAAGCGGGGGAUAACAUUCGGAAACGGGUGCUAAUACCGCAUAAUAUCUUCUUCCGCAUGGAAGAAGAUUGAAAGACGGCUCUGCUGUCACUUAUAGAUGACCUUGCGGUGCAUUAGUUAGUUGGUGGGGUUACGGCCUACCAAGACGAUGAUGCAUAGCCGACCUGAGAGGGUGAUCGGCCACAUUGGGACUGAGACACGGCCCAAACUCCUACGGGAGGCAGCAGUAGGGAAUCUUCCGCAAUGGGCGAAAGCCUGACGGAGCGGUGCCGCGUGAGUGAAGAAGGCCUUCGGGUCGUAAAACUCUGUUAUAAGAGAAGAACAAAUUGUAGAGUAACUGCUACAGUCUUGACGGUAUCUUAUCAGAAAGCCACGGCUAACUACGUGCCAGCCGCCGCAGUAA